GACGAACGCUGGCGGCGUGCUUAACACAUGCAAGUCGAACGGAAAGGCCCUGCUUUUGUGGGGUGCUCGAGUGGCGAACGGGUGAGUAACACGUGAGUAACCUGCCCUUGACUUUGGGAUAACUUCAGGAAACUGGGGCUAAUACCGGAUAGGAGCUCCUGCUGCAUGGUGGGGGUUGGAAAGUUUCGGCGGUUGGGGAUGGACUCGCGGCUUAUCAGCUUGUUGGUGGGGUAGUGGCUUACCAAGGCUUUGACGGGUAGCCGGCCUGAGAGGGUGACCGGCCACAAUGGGACUGAGAUACGGGCCAGACUCCUACGGGGGGCAGCAGGGGGGAAUAUUGCACAAUGGGCGGAAGCCUGAUGCAGCAACGCCGCGUGCGGGAUGAAGGCCUUCGGGUUGGAAACCGCUUUCGGCUGGGACGAAGCGUGGGUGACGGUAAUGGGUAAAGAAGCACCGGCUAACUACGUG
This 468-nucleotide ribosomal RNA is filed under the name uncultured bacterium. RNAcentral describes it as "partial 16S ribosomal RNA". It matches the Rfam family "Bacterial small subunit ribosomal RNA", at positions 28 to 507 of the family's 1533-position model. The record is from RNAcentral.